GAUGAACGCUGGCGGCGUGCCUAAUACAUGCAAGUCGAGCGAACAGACGAGGAGCUUGCUCCUCUGACGUUAGCUGCGGACGGGUGAGUAACACGUGGAUAACCUACCUAUAAGACUGGGAUAACUUCGGGAAACCGGCGCUAAUACCGGAUAAUAUAUUGAACCGCAUGGUUCAAUAGUGAAGGACGGUCUUGCUGUCACUGGUAGAUGGGACCGCGCCGCAUUAGCUAGUUGGUGAGGUAACGGCUUCCCAAGGCGACGAUGCGUAGCCGACCAGAGAGGAGGAGCCGCCACACCGGGAGGGAGGCACGGUCCGGACUCCUACGGGAGGGAGCAGAGGGGAAUAGUGGACAAGGGGCGGAAGGCUGAGAGAGCCAUGCCGCGUAAAUGAUGAAUGUUUGAGGGGAGCAAAGGUGUUUUAACCGGGACGAUAAUGACGGUACCGGAGGAAUAAGCCCCGGCUAACUUCGUG
RNAcentral lists this ribosomal RNA (472 nucleotides) under uncultured bacterium. RNAcentral's name for it is "partial 16S ribosomal RNA". It matches the Rfam family "Bacterial small subunit ribosomal RNA", at positions 28 to 507 of the family's 1533-position model. The record is from RNAcentral.